GAUGAACGCUGGCGGCGUGCCUAAUACAUGCAAGUCGAGCGAACAGACGAGGAGCUUGCUCCUCUGACGUUAGCGGCGGACGGGUGAGUAACACGUGGAUAACCUACCUAUAAGACUGGGAUAACUACGGGAAACCGGAGCUAAUACCGGAUAAUAUAUUGAACCGCAUGGUUCAAUAGUGAAAGACGGUUUUGCUUUCACUUAUAGAUGGAUCCGCGCCGCAUUAGCUAGUUGGUAAGGUAACGGCUUACCAAGGCAACGAUGCGUAGCCGACCUGAGAGGGUGAUCGGCCACACUGGAACUGAGACACGGUCCAGACUCCUACGGGAGGCAGCAGUAGGGAAUCUUCCGCAAUGGGCGAAAGCCUGACGGAGCAACGCCGCGUGAGUGAUGAAGGUCUUCGGAUCGUAAAACUCUGUUAUUAGGGAAGAACAAAUGUGUAAGUAACUAUGCACGUCUUGACGGUACCUAAUCAGAAAGCCACGGCUAACUACGUG
Molecule: ribosomal RNA, 497 nt
Filed under: uncultured bacterium
Lineage: Bacteria
Description: partial 16S ribosomal RNA
Rfam family: Bacterial small subunit ribosomal RNA
Source: RNAcentral